UAAAAGUUUUUUUGCUUUGGGGUUUCAGAAAAACUUGAGUUAAAUGUAAGUUUAAGCGUAAAAUAGAGAUAGUUUAAAUAAUUAUAUUUAGGUUUAAUGGGCAGUUACUAUUAUUAAAUAUUCGGGGGAUCGAGAUUUAGUGGAGAUUUUAGUAUAAACAAAAUUUGUGCCAGCAGUUGCGGUUAUACAAAUUAUGCAAUGAAAUUUUAUUAGGUAUAGUUAAUCUAUAUAAUAUAUAAAUUAAAAAAAUUUUUAUUAGGUGAAAUUUUAAAAUUUUGUAAAUUUAUAAUAAAAAGUUGGAUGAGGCUAGGAAAUUUUAUAAAAAACUAGGAUUAGAUACCCUAUUAUAAAAAUUAAUAUAUAAAACCUAGAUUAUUAGUAGUUAAGUUCUUGAAAAUUAAUAAAGAUGGCGGUAUUUUAGUCUAUUCAGAGGAAUCUGUCCUGUAAUUGAUAAUCCACGAUUUAUGUUACUUAAGUUUUUAGUUUAUAUAUCGCUGUAAGUUGAAUAUUUUUACUGAAAUUUAAUAUUCAUGAUCUUUAAGGAUAGAAAAUCAAGUCAAGAUGUAGCUUAUACUUAAGAAGAGAUGGAUUACAUUAUAUUUAAAUGUGGUUAGGGUCUUGAAAUAGUCUCUAUAAAAUGGAUUUGAAGGUAAUUUUUUAUUAAAAUAUGAAAAGUGAUUUGAGCUCUAAAAUAUGUACAUAUCGCCCGUCGCUUUCACUAUAAAGUGAAAUAAGUCGUAACAUAGUAGAUGUACUGGAAAGUGUCUCUAGAAGACA
Molecule: non-coding RNA, 777 nt
Filed under: Scolytinae sp. BMNH 1039965
Lineage: Eukaryota; Metazoa; Arthropoda; Insecta; Coleoptera; Curculionidae
Source: RNAcentral